CCUUCUCACUAUUACUUUUUCCUUGGGGCUUGACUUCACUCCUGACUACUUCAUCCUGAUGUACCAUCCCAAAAUUGUCCAUGAAAAGCUAUUCAUGGUCAAAUUUCAGGGAUCAAAGAGGUUCUUUUAGAUCUGUACAAAAAAGGUCGUUAAUUAAUUGGUAGUUUGUUUUUAUUCGUACUAAGAAUAUUCUUCAUGGUGCAGUUAUAUCGGAAGCAUGGAACUACUAUCCUUCUCUAUAAAUCUCUUCGCUUGUUGAAAUCUGACCCUAGGUCCAAAAUAUUCUUACCAGCGUGAGGCUCAAAGAGCAUUAUUAAAGUUUUAUUGUGCAGUCGACGAUGUUGUUAUUUGAUUUUAUCCUCAUACUAGGGAUGAAAAUAGACAUGGGAAAGACCCGAUAGAAUAAUUUUAUCAUGAUUUCUGAUGGUUCUUCAUUCCUACUUCUAUCGGAAAAGUAGAAAAGGAUGUUCAAGUAGAAUGAUUUGGAGAAGACAAAGAGAAAAGCUAUUGAUAGUGAAUCAUCUCCUCUUAGGUAGAUCAAAAAAGAGGAAAGGGAUGGUUGUGUCAGUAGAGGGAAUGGAAUUCUCACUGAUGAGUUAUCGACUGAGCCUGAGCAGAAGACUCAUUCUUCGAAAGUUCUCCUAUCACUGUCACUGAGUGAAGUAGACUGAUGGGGAAGUGCAGGGGUGCCUAUAGGGGAGAAUCUUUCAGGCCCCAGACUUUCUACCCAUCCUGAUGCCUUUCCUGGUCCCAGCACCAUCCAGUAGCCCGCGAUCUCUAUGGUGAAAGAAGAGAUGGAGGGCUUAUAUAUUCAUCUGGAUCUUUUAGUCCAACAUGAUUUGCUGAGAAUUUUGCCACUCAGUAAUGACCAAAACUUUUUCCAUCACACCAUCCAUCACCGUUCCAAGGCAAUGGCUCGACCACUGGUGCUUGGUUUGGUAAUUUUUCCUUUUUAUCUUUUCUUGCUUUUCUUUCUUACAAUAUCUCUUUUACCUGUAAGGGUACCAUUGAUACCUUCCAUAUUUUCUCACUUCUUUGGUGAAAGGAGAUUGAUAGAGCAGGAGGAGGGGCCGUAUUCAGGAAAGAAUCGUUGUUUUAGAGAAAAAGGUCCAAAUAUUGUAGGAGGAAUUGCCCGAUGAAAAAGAGUGUGUGAAUAGUCUUCAUGCUUAGUUUUAUUGUCAAGCCGAGAAGAUAAAAGCCACUGAGGCAAAGAAAAGAGAUGCCUCUGGAAGUGAGGAGUAGGACGAUCAAGAAGCGGGUAGAUAGUUGGCCCAACUCAAAAAGAGUUUUGCCGCUACAUUGUUGCUAAGACUGAAGUGGACUUCUUUAGGUGCAAGUCAUAGAAGCUUCAUAUGCUGAAGAAGACGUUGUAUAAAAAGAAGAGGAAGAAGAGAGCUCUACAUAGAGACCUUAACGAGGAGUAGGACUAGGUGCUCUGCUAUGAGGGAUCUCCUUAUGGCCUAUGGCCGUGAUGUCAUCUGGAGAGAUUGUUUAUAGGUUCUCGAGAAGGUCUAGUUUGAUCCUCUCACGGUGGAGAAGGAGAUCAAGAUCACUCUCGAAGUUAUCACAAAUGUUGAUUGUCCUCCUUUAGAUCCUGUCGAAAUCACUUUGUCGUCGAAUGACUUAUCUAAAAAGAGCGAUGGGGAUGAAUCCUAAAGUUCAUCUGUGGAGAUAUUUUAAGAAGUCCUACGACCUUUGUAUUUUCCUCUUAAUUUCAUAUUUAUUAACAUCCCUAAACUUUUUAUUUGCUCGUGGUUGUAGCACACUAGUCUUAGUCGUUUUUUUGUUGCACAUUCAUUGCAAUUUUUUAAUUUUGAAUUGGGCAUGUAUGAGUUGUUGUAACCAACAUAAGAGCGUACAAAUUUUUUUUCGCUUAAUGAUAAGUGAUGAUGACCAAUUUUUGUUUUA
Long non-coding RNA from Capsicum annuum, 1908 nucleotides. RefSeq lists it as uncharacterized. The transcript is spliced from 2 exons. The record is from RefSeq and is a predicted model, not a curated record. Lineage: Eukaryota; Viridiplantae; Streptophyta; Magnoliopsida; Solanales; Solanaceae.